This is a long non-coding RNA of Nicotiana attenuata, 1083 nucleotides long. RefSeq lists it as uncharacterized. The record is from RefSeq and is a predicted model, not a curated record. Lineage: Eukaryota; Viridiplantae; Streptophyta; Magnoliopsida; Solanales; Solanaceae. The transcript has 2 exons.
GUUAGACUCUUAAUGUCACUUCAAUUGAAUGACCUUAUAUCUUCAGAAUUUUUGUGCAUUUGUCCUAUAAGCUCGUUGCAGAUAAAUAUCCUUUUUAGUAAUCUUGUAUGACUAGGGAUAUGGUUAAGACAGUAAUAAUUUUAUAUAACACAAAAACUCUGGCCUAGGCAUCUUUUGCUUCUCUUUUGGAUUGACAACUUAAUAUCAGCUAUGCCAUAUACAAUUUUAUUCUUUUUAAGGGGGGGUGGGGUUGGCGAAGUUGGGUGAAGAAUACUUAGCUGUCCGCUUAAUUUUUUCUUUUAUAAGUAAUAUUCAGUUUGUUUUCAUUUUGAACUCUUAAAUGAUAUUCAUUAUCCUUUUAUCUUAAGAAUGGUGCCUACACAUGAUACUAUUAUGUUUUUUUAAGUUUCAUAGUAGCUUGUGUAUAUAUGAUGGCUCUUUCCAUGUGCAUCACUAGUACAUGUAUUCUUAUAUCGAUAUUAAUUUUUGUCAUUAACAAACGGAGAUUGUAUAUUUACUUUAAUAAGAUAUGAGAACAUGUAAAAUGAUUACAAAAUCUUUUUACCUUUGAAUUUGUUAAUGGUGAACUCUUCAUACUCCACAGAGGGACAUGCAAAGGUAUCAACAUUCUGUAUUAGUGCUACACUUGAACUUUAUUUUUUCCUUACUCUAACUUGCAUCUUUUUCAGCAAAUCUAUUGUUGCAUCCUUGUGAGACUAUUAGAUUGUCAACUUAUUUCCUUUGUAUUUUAUAUUCCCUUACUGUUAACAUUAUCCUACUUUCCCUUAGUUCCUUAAAUUGCUGAACAAAGCAGCAUCUAGAAUUCAAUUGGACGCAACAUUAUGCUAAUAAGGAGCUAUUUUCUCUAACUUCAAUCAAGGAAGGAUAAAGUUCUCCAACAACAGAAAACAAAGUCAACCAGAGACUUGGAGGAGUUUGAAGGCAAAGGAAUAGUUUGGAAACAUUUUAUAUUAUUUUUUGGGCCAUUUAUAUAUACAAAGAAAAUGUAUUAUAAUGUAUAUUAGAAUACUUUAUGUUGUUUGAUUUUUUAGCAAUGAAAAGUUCUUAUAUAUUUCUAUUUCU